This 459-nucleotide ribosomal RNA is filed under the name uncultured bacterium. Its description in RNAcentral is "partial 16S ribosomal RNA". It matches the Rfam family "Bacterial small subunit ribosomal RNA", at positions 338 to 795 of the family's 1533-position model. The record is from RNAcentral.
CCUACGGGAGGCAGCAGUGAGGAAUAUUGGUCAAUGGGCGCGAGCCUGAACCAGCCAAGUAGCGUGAGGGAAGACGGUCCUAUGGAUUGUAAACCUCUUUUGUCGGGGAGCAAAAGACGCCACGCGUGUCGUUCCGAGAGUACCCGAAGAAAAAGCAUCGGCUAACUCCGUGCCAGCAGCCGCGGUAAUACGGAGGAUGCGAGCGUUAUCCGGAUUUAUUGGGUUUAAAGGGUGCGAAGGCGGAAGAUCAAGUCAGCGGUAAAAUUGAGAGGCUCAACCUCUACGAGCCGGUGAUACUGGUAUUCUUGAGUGAGCGAGAGGUAUGCGGAAUGCGUGGUGUAGCGGUGAAAUGCAUAGAUAUCACGCAGAACUCCGAUUGCGAAGGCAGCAUACCGGCGCUCAACUGACGCUCAUGCACGAAAGUGUGGGUAUCGAACAGGAUUAGAUACCCGAGUAGUC